Molecule: long non-coding RNA, 960 nt
Organism: Pecten maximus
Lineage: Eukaryota; Metazoa; Mollusca; Bivalvia; Pectinida; Pectinidae
Exons: 3
Source: RefSeq, a predicted model, not a curated record
UUUGAAUUCACCGGAUGUUUAUUUCCAGAAGAAAAGUAUAAACAAACACGACGAUAGCCUAAAAACGAAGUUUGUUUCCAGUCUUACUGAAGAAGAUCGACUUACUUCAAGUUACCGACGAAUGAAUAUCAGCUUUCUCGUUGUUUUUGACGACCGAUGCAUAUUUUUACCGACAAACAUCGUUACGAGACAGGGGUUUUGAUGAUUAAUUUAUCACAGAUUACACGGCCGAAGGAAACGCAGUACCGAUCCAUGUGUUACAAUCAGACUGAGUCUUCAUGCAGUACAUUCUGGAAUGAGGAACACCGCAUGCAUUAAUUGUGGUCCAAAUUGAUGGCAUUGACUUAACACAAAGCAGAAAGGAAUGAAGAGAAAUGAAGAAGUUUAUGUUUCACAUUAAUUAAGAUUAUUCGAGAUGUGUUAUCUGUCGAGGUAUACAACAUUUCCUUUCAUAAUAAAAGUGUAAACAUUAAUAUAUAUACCCAAAAAAAUUAUGUAUAUAAUCUAAAAAUCCUUGUUAGUUAUUUGUUGUACUAGCAAAAAAUAUAAUAUAGUCGUCUCAAGCUUGGUUGUAUUGAAAUCCCCGGGGACAGUGACAGAGAUAUAUCACUACAGUACGUGCUACAUCAAACAACACACCAUUGUUCAAAUUGUCAAUCAACAUUUCAUUUAGUCAGUAUUUAGAAUUGAUUCCAAAAUUAUGAUAAUCUUUUCACAGUUUAUUAGAAAUAGGGUUAAAUUCGAUAGAAGAAGUCAUUGACUGUUGCUUGUUUUUGUUUAUUUUAAGUUUACGGACACACAUGAAAACAGUUUCCAGUACAUCUGGGCUACUUCGAGGAAACUACGUAUACUGUCUGAAAUCAGUCUUGUGCGUCGGUGACAAAAUGUAUACAUAUCCUACUAUAACUCUGCUGGAAAAUAUUAUUUUGUACUAUUUUCCUACUAUUUUAGAAAAAAAAA